Molecule: long non-coding RNA, 613 nt
Organism: Carassius auratus (goldfish)
Lineage: Eukaryota; Metazoa; Chordata; Actinopteri; Cypriniformes; Cyprinidae
Exons: 3
Source: RefSeq, a predicted model, not a curated record
UGAUGAUCGACCAGAGUGACCUCAGCCUCUCGUGCGCUGCUGUGUGUGCCUGCACCGGAGGAGACGUGACGUCACAUCCGGGUCAUACGAGCGGGACAAAAUAAAAGUUCGAUGUAACGCUUUUAUAUCUGUGAUUUAGAUCCUAAGUCCACACUCCAUAGAGCUGAUUACCACCCGCCAAUACAAACAGAAGAGGAGGAAGAGGAAGAGGAAGAGGAAGAGGAAGGGUCAGAUGUCCGGGGUCAAGUCACUGUCAGGGUGUCGUUCCGUCGCUGGACACUAGAGGUCAGUGUCUGUCUUCUGAAUGACGGCACCCAUUCACUGCAGAGCAUCCAUUGAUGAGACACUGAUGCAGUGCUACAUUUCUACAAACCUGAUGAACAAACACACUCCUCCUGAUGGUGUAUGUGACGUGUGUUGGUGUUUGUGUGAACUCUCUCUCUGUGUGUGUGUGUGUGUGUGUGUGUGUGUCUGUUGAUUCAGAGACGUCUUUAAGAUCUUUGACUCGUUGUAUCAGCAGAUCUUAUGCAUAUUAAUUAAACACAUGCUUGUAGUUCUGUGUCAGUUUCAUUUCUACAAAAGCCAUCGAGUGUUUGAUGAACGUUCUCCUCAG